This 78-nucleotide transfer RNA is filed under the name Hestiella acidicharens (SeqCode). RNAcentral's name for it is "Candidatus Hestiella acidicharens tRNA-Leu". It matches the Rfam family "tRNA". Rfam says of the family: Transfer RNA (tRNA) molecules are approximately 80 nucleotides in length. Their secondary structure includes four short double-helical elements and three loops (D, anti-codon, and T loops). RNAcentral also lists the same sequence under 1 other name. The record is from RNAcentral. Lineage: Archaea; Thermoproteati; Thermoproteota; Thermoprotei; Acidilobales; Acidilobaceae.
GGGCCCGUAGCUCAGCAAGGAUAGAGCGGCGGGUCGAGGACCCGUAGGUCGGGGGUUCGAGUCCCCUCGGGCCCACCA